CCUACGGGAGGCAGCAGUGGGGAAUAUUGCACAAUGGGCGAAAGCCUGAUGCAGCAACGCCGCGUGAAGGAAGACGGUUUUCGGAUUGUAAACUUCUGUUCUUAGUGAAGAAUAAUGACGGUAACUAAGGAGCAAGCCCCGGCUAACUACGUGCCAGCAGCCGCGGUAAUACGUAGGGGGCAAGCGUUAUCCGGAUUUACUGGGUGUAAAGGGAGCGUAGACGGCAGCGCAAGUCUGGAGUGAAAUGCCGGGGCCCAACCCCGGAACUGCUUUGGAAACUGUGCAGCACGAGGGCAGGAGAGGUA
Molecule: ribosomal RNA, 305 nt
Filed under: uncultured bacterium
Lineage: Bacteria
Description: bacterial SSU rRNA
Rfam family: Bacterial small subunit ribosomal RNA
Source: RNAcentral